RNAcentral lists this long non-coding RNA (725 nucleotides) under Homo sapiens (human). RNAcentral's name for it is "HSALNT0314575". Lineage: Eukaryota; Metazoa; Chordata; Mammalia; Primates; Hominidae. The record is from RNAcentral.
UCACCCCACUGCACUCCAGCCUGGGCGACAGAGCAAGACUGACUCAAUUUAAAAAAAAAAAGAUAAAAAUGGUGCAUCUCUAUAGGGCGUUUACCAUGCCUGGAGCUUGUGGGACUGGAAGUUGCUCUGGAAUCACUUCCUGGCUGGGAAUUGAACCCAGACUGCUGCAGUGAAAGAGCAUAAUGUUAGCUACUGGCCCACAGCAUGAGACUCCCGGUCCUGUUUGUUGCUCAUCCCCAGAUACGCAGCCUGGUCUACAGGAAGAAUUCUAUGUAUAUUUGCUGAAGAGACAAAGAAGGAUGUGGAUGAAUUGGAUGUGGAGAAUGAGAGGAAAGAAAAUGUCAAGGAUGGCUCUAAUUUCUGGCUUAUGCAACUGAGUGGUGCCAUUGAGAGAGACUCUCUCUCUUGCCUUCUUGGUUGGCACACUGGGGAGAAGCGAGCUGCAGCGUUGGAGAGGCCCAUGUGGCAAGGGACUGAGAGCAGCCUCUGGCCAACAGCCGCUGAUCCUACAGAUGAGAAUCUAGCCCUUGUGCUGCCUCAUGAGAGACCCUGGAGCAGAGGCCCCAGCUGAGCUAUGCCUGGAUUCCUACCCACAGAAACUGGAAGACAAUAAAAGUGUCGUUUAUGUUUUUUUAUUCUGGUAAAAAUCAUAUAACAUGAAAUUUUUCCAUUCUAACCAUUAAAAACAUGUCUUUUUGUGUGUGUGAGACAGGGUUUCGUUCUGU